RNAcentral lists this ribosomal RNA (119 nucleotides) under Gadus morhua (Atlantic cod). Lineage: Eukaryota; Metazoa; Chordata; Actinopteri; Gadiformes; Gadidae. The record is from RNAcentral.
GCUUACGGCCAUACCACCUUAGGCACGCCCGAUCUCGUCUGAUAACGGAAGCUAAGCAGGGUCGGGGCUGGUUAGUACUUGGAUGGGUGACCGCCUGGGAAUACCAGGUGCUGUAAGCA